Molecule: non-coding RNA, 17075 nt
Organism: Equus caballus (horse)
Lineage: Eukaryota; Metazoa; Chordata; Mammalia; Perissodactyla; Equidae
Source: RefSeq, a predicted model, not a curated record
UGUUUAAUUUUUCAAGGAAUCUCCAUACUGUUUUCCACAUCAGGUGAACCAUCAUCCAUUCCCACAAGCAGUGCACAAGGGUACCAAUUUCUACACAUCCUUGCCAAGACUUACGUUGUUUUUUUUUAUAGUAGCCAUCCUAUGAGGAGGAGUAUUUCUUUUCUUAAGCCCACGUUUUAAAAGUGAAAGUUUCACAAAGUUUAUAGUUUCCACAUAAAAUAUGUUCACGAGGUGCCUCAGAUGACUGAGCCCCACAUGGGACCACUGCCAGGCUGAGGCCCCCUUCCAGGCCUCCCUGGAUGGCCCACGUCACUCCCUUCCUCUGGAAGGGGACUUAGAAGCAUUUUCAGGAGGUGCUUCUGACACGGUCUGAAAAAAAUGGGAAGCUCUCAGCACACUGAUCCACAUUGCAGCCUGGCAACAAUCAGCAGGACUGGGUAGGCACUGCCCCUUUUCAGGUGGGGUCUGUGUCCUCCAGGUGGCCAGACUGCCCUGCCUGGCCUGGUGCCUGUGCAUUCUGUGUGUGAGAGCUCUGGUCUCGUCCUUCCUCACCCUCAUUCCACACACAUCCAUUGUAUAAUGGGAAAGUGAUGGCUUUGUAAUGGCUAGGCUGAACUACAUUUCCCCGAACUCCCUUACUUUUCUGUUUCACAUUAGGGUGAGCCACAAGGCAUAUUCUUGCCCGAUUUGGAAGGAAGGAACCAUUUGGGUUGCUGAUCUGCUGAUUUACCUCCUUGGUGUGAAGCAGCCCCUGGGCCUGCAAUUACUCUACAUUCCCUGGAUUCUCCUUCAGUUUUACUGACUCCUGGGCCAAGUGUGUGCAUGGUUAGCUGUGUUACAAAGGGUCUCAACUUCUGCAGGAUACCCUCAUCACCAAGGUCAAAGGCAACAAGCACCAACACAAGUGUCAGUCCAUCCUGGUGUUCCAGCUUAUGCCGGUGGUGUUUCAGCCUGCUCAUGUUCUUCCCCUCCUGAUUGUGUACCUCAGACUCCAGCAUCAGUCACAAAGAUUCAGGCUUACAGAAACUGCUGCGAUUGUACGUCAAAGUUAAAGUAAAGUAGCCAGUUAGCAGCAAAAGGAGUUGAUUCAGGAACAACCAGAGGAAUUGCAAUUCAGGAAAUGCAAUGCAAGGCAAACCAUAGGCAAAUCAGAGAACAAAGGUGGGGAGCUUGCUUUUAUAGAGAAAAAGGGGGAGUUGGGUGCGGCUGUUCUAAAGGAAAGGUCAUUGGAAGAAAGUGAGAGUUCAGGGUGGUGACAGCUUUUCAUUGGCUCAGCUGUUGCUGGGCAAGGAGAAAACCUUCCUUCCUCCUGCUGGAGUAGUAAAGUAGUUUCAAUUCCUGCCCAAAAUUGUAAAGUGAGAUGUGUAUGUGAGAGUUUCCUUUACAGGGUUUCCUGACUCCAUUUUAAAUGAGAUUUCCCUUUAUUGUCACAUGUACAAGCCAGUUUCCUGUAACCAGUCCAGUAUUUAGGUGUAUAUGUGCCUAUAUCCUUCUGGGUCUGCUUCUCCCUUGAACUCUGACUGACAUGGGAACUUGAACACCUGCUGACUUUUCCUGCCUCAUGUCCUGUCAGUCUACUUGCUGCUUUCACCAUUCCCCAAUUCAGGAGCUUUUCCCCUACUUUUUUCCUGCCCUCCCUUUUUCCCUACCCGAGAGCCUGUGCCAGUGCUGCUCCAGCCUGGAAUGUCACUACCCCAAAGCUGCUGGUUUGUCUGUCCUCAGGCACGUGGCUGAGCUCCUCGAGAACAGGGAGUAGGUGUGAUAGGUCCCCAUCCCUGCUUCUGCUCAACCAGGAUGUGCUGAAUGAAUGACUGUGGACUAGGCCCUUGACGUAGGAGAUUUCAUUCCUUUCUCAGAAUACCUCUGCAAGUAUCACUGCCCUCAUUUGCAAGUGCAAGUGGCCCCAGUAGCAGUUGCUGUGGAAAGAACCAAGGCCUCUUGGCUGCCUCAUGACUGGUGGAGCUGCCAGAACAGCUAAUGUGCCCUCUGGCCACAUCACCCAAGGUCUGAUGCCUGGGACAGAGAGAUGUCAGUACCCCUUGUGCCCAACAGGUUGUGUGCUCAGUGCUAAGCCUGGCCAUGGCAGAGGACAGGUUCAGCUAGGUUGGUGCACGAGAGUCAGUUGGGUGCAGACCCCAUUCUAUGAGUCGCUAAAGCUGCACAGCCUGGAAAAGGGCCUUUUCAGUGGCUGCAGGGCUGUCUCGGGGCCAGGGAGAAGUCGGAUCUAGGGACCCAGAAGGUAGACCUGAGAUCCUGAAGGGGUUCACAGGGAGGCAGUUCCCAGUUCUAUGAGAGGAAAGAGACAGUAUUGCAGGAGGAGAGAGCGCUAUUCCCAGGGGGGUGUGAGGGAUGGAGGUAGGAAAACCUGGAGACCCUGGUCAGAGGCUCUGUGUUCAGAUGCUCUCUGGUUAGAUGAAAAAAUAAACCUUUCUUGGCUCCAUUUAUAGAUGAGGAAAUUAAGGCUUGGGGAGAACACUCUUGCCCCAGACCAAAAGACCAUGGUGGAGCCAGGCCCAGAACCCUGAUAUCAGCCUCCAGGGCCUGGUCCUGCUUGACCCCUCUCCUGAUCAGUGGGCAGAGAGGUGUCCAGGCCUGGCCCAUUGCUAUGCCCCUAUUUUACAGACAAUCAAAUGCACCUGGUCCUUUCCUUCCUCACUGCACCAGGGUCACCUCCCCCAGGAAGCCUUCCUCCUGGGCCUUGCGGUGUCAUGUGCCGCCAAUGUUCACAUGGAAUUGAGGCUCCUUGAAGCCAAGUCCAAGAGACACAGUAAAUAAAUGGUGAUUCCUGGGCUCUGCAGCCCCAUGCAGGAGCUGAGUAUGAUGUCAGGGCAGGAAAUACAGCCUCCUAGUCUCAGCAAUCACACCAGUAGGAUGAGCUUUUGAACACCUUCCUUACUGGGGCUGAACACCUUCCUUGAUAGGGCUGUCAUAAGGCUGAGAUGAGGCCUGUGCAACCUUCCUCAGAGUGCCUGACACACAUUGAGUGUUCACGUGGGGUUGCUUAUGGCCUUUGGUUCUUCACCUUGGGGUGGGACCCACCCACAGAGGUGCAGCUCGGCUAAACGAUCUGAGCGAACAAACAGGGAAGAGAGGAGGGGAGGGGCCGGUGGGUAGACAGUGGGACACUGGGCGAGUGGUUUCAGAGGACAAACAAUUUGAAGGGAUGACAAGGUCCAGGAUGUGAGCAUUGGAGGGUAAAGUGAGUCAAAAGAGAGACUAGAUUACAAGUAACAGAAACCCAGUUCAAACCAGCUUAUGCAAAAAGCAAUAUAUCAGGUCACAUGACAUUCAGGUAUAAGGUAGCUUCAGGCAUGGCUGGAUCUGGAGGCUCCGUUAAUGUCCUUUGGUAUAUGUCUCUCCAUUUCUUGCUUCCAACUUUCUCUGUCUUGGCUCCUUUUCCAGGCAGGCUCUCCCUACGUGUAGACAAAGAUGGCCACUGGCAACUCUGGCCCCAUGUCCCUACCCUUUAGUGAUCCUGGGGGAGAGCACCUCUUUCUCAGUAGUUCCAGGAAAAGUCCCAGGAUUGACUCUCAUUGAAGCCACUGGAGUCAAGAACUCAUUUCUGACCCAGUCAUUGUGACAAAUUGAAUAACUAACUGAACACUCAUUAGCCAGGUCUUUGAUUCAUGACCAUCCCUGGGACUGGAGGGGUCAGACUCCCAGAACCAUGUGGCCUGAAUAGGGUGGGUUGGGUCGGGUCCCCAGAGGAAAGUUAAAGUGGUCUUCAUUAUCAGAAGAGUGGGAGGCCCCACUGAGGGCUGGUCCACUGGGUAGUCCAGCGUGUCUGGAGGAGGCAGGCCUUGGGGGAGGAAACAGCGAGCUAGCCCAAGUCUUCAAGGAAUGGAGAGGGGGUGACAAGAGAGAGGUGAGGGGCAGCAGCAGCAAAGUAGGAGGCCACUGGAAGAGCCAAGUGGUCUGAGUAGCAAAGGUGGAUUUUGGUGCGAAAUAGGAAAGGCAAUGCUGAACAAGCAUGACCUGAAGGACAUUUUGGAGCCCUGGAGCUCAGGGAUGUCCUCAAAGGGCCGUCAGUCAGCAGGGUGGGGGGCUUUGGUUAGGGAGGGCUCAGAGAAAGGGGUGAAGGUCAGUGUGAAUGGUUGGGCAGGAAGGAGCAGUGUCCACGUGCCCAGGUCCCCUGCAGCAGCGCUGCCCAACCCUCUCUGAACCUCACAGCCACCUGAGAGAUGGUCAGAAAGCCAAGUCUCAGGCCCCAGCCUCAGACUCUAACUUGGAAAACUGGGGUGAGUCCAGAUGGCAUCUGGGCUUGGGUUUCUGGUUUAGAAUGGGAUAGAAUCUGUGGGAUCACAUUUAGGUGGUCCAGAGCACCAUCCCCCAGAAUCCUGAGUAGGCCAAGGUCUCUCAUGGCCUCUACCUGCAGGUGGCCUAUUGACUGGCCCUGCAGGCUGUGUGGGACAGGACCUGUGCUGGCACAGGCCCACUGCCCCCCAGUCAAAACUGCAAAGGAGAUGAAGCUGUUAGUGAUCAGCAUGUGGCCAGGACAUAGGCUGCCAGGAUGGGUAGAGCUGUCACCCGUUGUCCACCAUAGUCCCUCUGUGUCCAGCCUAGGCCUCCUCCUGCCUGCUUUCUGGAUGCCCACUGUUGCCCAGAACCAAAACAUCCACAGCAAAGUCUGGCAUCGCCAUUUCCUCCUUUGCUGUAGCCAGUGCCUCCUGCCGCCAUCAGCCACGGGUCUCCACAUUCAGGGCCCCAUCUGAACUUUUGCCUAGAGAGCAGUGAUGUGCUGAGGGGGGCAUCUGUGACGUGUCUCCCCCACUGGCUGGGGGGGUUGGGCAGGGAAGGCACUUGCGCUGGUUUUGUCCACUGCCCUGUCGUCUGGGCCCAGCACACAGCAGGGCAGGUAAGACUCACACUGGCACCUGGCCCUGCAGUUAGUUCGCUGAGGCAGCAAGCAGUGAGGAGCGCCCAGCAGGAUGUGAAGAGACCUGAAGAGGGACUAGAGUGGCCACUUGCUGUGUGUGGGAAGGGGCCAGCAGGGAGGUAGGUGGGUGAUGGGUCUGCUCUGUGACCCCACCAGAGAUGUGCCAGGGAGGGAUAGUAGCUGCCAGGUCUGGGUCAGGGGUACUAGCAGACCAGGGGCUCUUCUCCAGUGGUGCUCCCUGCCCUCCCUACUCCUCCCCCAAGCUAUUGCCCUUCCCCUCAUCACCUGUAGUUUCUUACACAGGGAUCAAAAGAGAUCCCCUGCAUCUCUCAGUAACCCCAGCCCAGGCUUGCCCAGCUGGGCACCAUGUACAUACCCGCUGUUUUUGGGCUUUUUGUGUGUAUGAGGAAGAUUGGCCCUGAGCUACCAUCUGUUGCCAAUCCUCUUUUUGCUUGAGGAAGAUUGUCGCUGAGCUAACAUCUGUGGCAGUCUUCCUCUAUUUCUUUUAUGUGGGAUGCCACCACAGAGCAGCUUGAUGAGUGGAGCUAGGUUGGCACACAUGAUCUGGCAAACCCAGGGCUGCUGAAGCCAGCCCGCAAAUUAAACCCCUAUGCCACCAGGCUGGCCCCUAGGGUCCUCCUUUUUUGCUGACUAGUCCUUUCAUAGAACAUCUGUCAGAAUAGGCCUCAGCUCAGUGCCCAGAAGGCUUAGUUAGCCCAUAUGCUGGACACCAGGGUGUCCCAGUGCUGAGGGUCAUUCUUCCCAAUUUUCCCAGUAACCCGUCUGUCCUCCAGAUUAACAAACAAGUUCAGAGGAUCAGUGCCUUGCUCAGUCCACACCUCGGGUUGUGGCUGGUGAGCCAGGGCCGGGGGCUUCCACAUUUCCACUGUAUUUGCCACAUCAACACAAAGUCUCACCAAAUUCAGAAUAACUAAUCUCUGCAAAGGUCUAGCCUGGCGCAGUUUCCUCCCCUUGCAGACGAUUCCAGGCUCCAGGCCUACCCCCCUAACAGAUCCGGGAUGACGAGAACCCCUGGGGUCCACCAGCCAACCCAAGCUACACGCCUACCACGCCCAUUCUAUUCCACUUAGAGGAAAAGGAGAGCGGUUCAAAGGUUUAAAGCAUUUAUUGUGCUCCCGCAAAGGCUGACGGGAUGGAAGGAGGCGCGGGGCCGUCACGCGCCCCGAGCGACUGUUUGCCUCGCACCCAAAGGCGGGGGGCGGUGGGGGGAGGGAGGGGCUGGUGAGCUGGAAAGGACGGCGAGGAGGCCCUGGCUCCGGCUGUGACCGGCUGGUACGGCCUCCGCCAUUGGCGUACAGGAGCUGGUAACCAUGGCAGCAGCUGUCGCCAAAGGCAAGAGCCAAUGGGGGCGUUGCCCGGGCCAUUUCAAAAAUGUAAAGCAAACGACAACAAAAAAACGCUACAACGGCGGGGGAUGGGAGGGAUGAAAAGGGGAUGGACCGGCUGGAGCCACUCCCUGCGGCUCAGAACAGGCGUCGCGUCCCUGGCCAGGUUAAACGCACAACACCUCCAGACGGUUGGAGUAGAAAAACCGAACCGCGGAGAGACCCAGCUCGCUGGCGGCCCUUGGGAACUUUGCGGACGCUACACUUGGCUGCCUUCAAAACCUUCUUGCCCUCCAAAGCCUUUGAGGAAACUGUUAGUGAUAAUCACAUGGACCUGGAAGAAACUGCUAGUUUUUCGUCGCGGUUCCUUCGAGAAUGGCUGGAGCCCUUUCGUGACCCACAGAAUUUCCGUCAGUGGCCCAACUGCGGGUCUAUGCCUGAGCUGGGUCUCCACAGCCGCUAGCUGAAGGAAGGUGGUGGUUUUGGGCGGGGGGUUGACUGGGGCGAGAGGUUUCGCGGAGGGUGGUGGGUGGCAGAAUUCCUGGAAGGCACGGGGAGAGGCAGGGCCGCCUGGGCUGUGGCCCCAAGGCAUGGACCUCCUCUGCCCACGUACGUCUAGGGGAGGCACCGGUCCCAGGGUCAAGAGACUUUCGGUUGACUCAGCCAUCACUUGGAGCACGACUGGGGAUCUUCGUCGCCCCGCCUCACCGGAUUUCACCCUUCUCGCCGCCCAUCUGACCCCAUGCCCACCCACUGCGGUCCCGAUUGCGGUCCACAGAGGUGCUCCGGCGUGCGCGCCUCUCGCCAACCGGUAAGGCUGCCACUAGGGUGGUGGCUAUGGUGGCAGCUGGGGCAGCGGCGCAGGUUAUUGCGGCAGUGGCGGCAGCUACCUAGAGAUGUGGGACCUCGGGACCUAAGAAGAGGAAGGCAGACACGCUCUGCCCAUCUGUCCCGCGUCUCCCAGCCGUCCUCCUCUCCCCUCCCCGACUCCAGGAGCCCAACUCCGGGAAGUUGAAGCCGGGCUACCAACUGCUCAUGCGCGGGCUAGAGCGCCUCUGGCCUAACAAAGGCCACCGUAGUUGCUAAGCAACGUGGCCGCAGAGUUCUGAGGGAGCCGGAGCGCCUUCUGGUGGUGCAGAGGAGCAGGCACAGGCUGUUUCUGCUGCCUUAGAGAGGAGCUGUGGCCUAUGUUUUCCAGGGGAUCCUGCAGAAGGGAGGGAGGGAAGGAAGAAAGCGUGGUGUGAAGCAAGCCAUCUUCAGUCUGUGUCAAAAUGACCUUGCAACCCCACAUUGCAUGACCGAAGACGCUAGCCGGACAGGUCCUCAAUAGGAAAAGGUAAAGCAGUACCUCGCUUUCACAUUUCACAGUUGCGUUUAUUAGAGAUUAGGGGCAUAAUUUAACGAUGUGCCACGGUCCUUGCCUCCCUCCGCACAUGGAUAACAUCAGGGUCUCUGAACUUGUUUGAUAUAUAACCAAGAAAUUCUUGCUUCUGUUACAUUCAAUGUACAUAAUCUAGAGAAGAGCCCAGCUGUACUCUAUCCCUUUUUUUUAUAACCUACUUGUAAGUUUUUCUUUUUUCCUCUUCCCUUCAUGUCCAGUGUUUUGUGAAACAGAUAGAAAGUAGACUUAAAUUCACACACCUCAGAGCGGUUCCAUCAGAGCAGUCUGUUGAACUGUUUUCCAGGGGGUCAAACACCUCACGCUAAUCGUGGAAUAAGCUCCUUCACUAAUAUAACUUAGACUGUUCAUUUCAGUCGACAAAAGUAAAAAGGAAGGAAAGGAAGGUGGAUAGACGAAUGGGUGGUUAAAGGUCCCAAGAGUGGAGGAUGGCCUGGCAGGGGCCUGGCUGACUCAGCAGGAUCAGGAGACUAUCGGCGGUCAGACUUCCUCAAGUUGGCCUUGACGGUGUGCCUGGGACUGUCCGAAGAGGGGUCUGUCCAGUGGCCCCAAGAAGUGACUGCCUGUGUCCUUCUGGGUGGCUUUGUUCACUCAGGGGCUUCAGCAACUGGAGCCAUAAGCCGAGCCCGUGGAGCUGCCUGUCUGGGUGGGCACUGGGAAUGGGCACCCUGCUGUCUCCAUUCCUCCCGGUCACCUUGUGGCUGUGUUCCUGUGUUUCACUGCGUGGCUGAGUGUGAAUUAUUUUUCCUCCUUGAAGUCUCUCCUGGGCUUUCCUAAGGUGCGUCUGGCUUGGUAAUGGCUUCAGACUAGCAGUUGUAGGACGCCCAUGUCCGUCCAGAGAGGCACCUUUUCAAACAGAACACAAAAGACCUUAUCAGGAAUUGAUUUUACACUUGGAGGAAAAAUGCCAAAAGAAGUCAGAGAACGUGGUGAUAACUCCAACGCCCAAAGUAUCACACCUUCCCCCAAUGCUUCAAUCUUCUCUAACGCUGGUAACAUGAUCCAGAAGAAAGUGGAUUUGGGACGUCGGGACUGACUCCACUACAGAGUUGAUGGCCAACUCGCCCCAGACGCAAUGCCAGUUGAGCUGUCUGUUUUGGCCUACCAGCACUUCAUCUUCUGGCUUCCACUCUUUUCCCUGGGAAGUCCGACGCUGGGGGCUGGGUGCGGUGUUGGCCUCGCGGGGGUGGGAGUUCUUCGGUACCGGGGUUUUUCCUCGGAAACCCCUUACUCUCUCUCUCUGUCCUUUUUUUUUUUUCUUUGGCUUUGUCGACCCUGUCUCCAACCUUCUCAGACUUUGGGUGGGCACUCUGCAUGUUUCCUCUUGGGUCCUGGAUAGGAUAUUCUCCAUCGUGACCCCUCUGGGGGUUCUUCUUGCGGUGCAAAGCCUGGCUGGGGUCAUCGUGGUCAGUCUGGGGAUCUCCAGAGUCUGCCUCAGAAACACUCUCUGCAUCUUGUCUUGCCACCUCCCAAGGCCGCAGGUGUGCGAUGCGAUCUUUCUGUCCCCUGUGCUUGCCUUGGCUCUUCACUCUCUCGCGUGAUCCAGUGCUCCUCCGCUUGGCUGCACUCGUUCGGUCCCCGUGGGUUCACGUUUCCUUCCGCGGCGCCUCUCCUGUUCCUCAACCCUUCUGCUCAGCUCGUGGCUUUUGUUCUGCUUAAGUCACGGACACCCCUCUUUUCCGGUUCCUUGGUUGGCUUGGUUUGGUUUUUCAAUUCAGAAGAGAGACUGACCCUUCCCUAUCAAGACCGAGCACUUCCCUUCCUAGUCUCGCCCCGGCGCCUUUCCCGGACGCUCGUCCCUCCCCCUGCACCCCCUCCAGCAGCCUGUCUCUCGGCAUCAUUCACGUUCAGGGACAACGCGCCGCUUUUCCCUCGGGGAUCCGACGACUUCCGGUGGCCGUGCCCAGAGGUGGGGUGCUGCCCUUGCCGCCUCUUGGAACACGACGGGAGGGGCCCGAGCCCCCGAAAGGCCUGGAGAAGACCCUUCCUGACCAUCACACGAGCCUAGAAGAGACUGCUUCUUCUCCAAAGGGGAUCCUCUGAGGGCGGCUAGAGCCCUUUCAGGGUGAUCCCCACCGUGGAGGGGACAGAGGCCUGACAGGAGAAUGCCCGUCUGUGGCCCAAGCAGCCACCGAGGGUCUGUGCCUGGGCCGGGUCUCCACGGCCAGCUCCUCGACGGCCAUGCCCAGGUACCACCUGAGGGCAGGUGGUGGUUUUCGGGUGGGGUGAAAGGUGGGGAGGGGAGAUGCUUUCGACACCUUCCUGGAAGACCCUGGGAGAGGCAGGGCCCGCUGGGCUGUGGCCCCAAGGCAUGGGCCUCCUCUGCCCACGUCUAGGGGAGGCUCCGCUCCCAGAGUCAGUAGAUUUGCAGUUGAUCCGACCAUCACUUGGAGCGGGACGUGGGGACAUUCAUGGCCCCCGCCUCAGCAGAUUUCAUCUCUCGCACCCCAAUCCCACCCCAUUGCCCCCCACUGCCGUCCAGAUUCGGGUCCACAGAGCGGCCCGUCAUGCCCGGGUCUCACUCUAGUAAGACUGCCACCAGGGUGGCGGUCAUGGUGGCAGUUGGGGCUGAGGGUGUGGCAGCAGGGGCAGCAGUGGAUUUUAUGGUGACAGUGGAGGCAGCCACUCAGAGAUCUGGGAUCUCCGGGACCUUAGGAGGGAAAGGUGGAGGCACCCUGCAAGCCUGCCCUCCUCUCCCUUCCUUCCUCCUCUCCCCACCCCUGUCUACCCACUCAGGGAGCCCAGCCUCCUGCUGCUGAAGCCGGCCAAUCAACUGCGCAUACGCGGGCUCUCUGGAGCCUCGCAACGCCCGCUCCCUUUGCUAAGGAACUUGACCGCGAGGCUCUCAGGGAGCGGGCGCGCCCUCUGGCGGUACCUAGGCGCAAGCACAAGCUGUGACCGGUGAUUUCCUGAGGCGGCUGUGGCCCAUGUUUUCCAGUGGGUCCUUCAGACGCUUGGAUGACAGGAAGGAACAAGGAAGGACGGAGGGAGGUAAGAAGGAGGGAAAGAAGGAAGUUAGGAAGGUAAAAAAGAAGGAAGGGAGGUAGGAAGUUAGGUCAUAAGGGAGAAAAGAAAGAUGAAUAGAAGGAUGAAUGGGUGGUUGGGGCUCCCAAGAGUGGGGCAAAGCCGUUCAGGGGCCUGGCUGAGAAAGCAGCAUCCGGAGCCAGGCGGUGGGAUCCCUUCCUCAAGUCAGCCUGGAGGCUGUGCCUGGAACUGUCUGCCACACCCUCCAAGGGGUCUGCCCUGUGAGCCCAAGAGGGGACUGCCUGUGCGCUUCUGGGUGGCUUUGCUGGCUCAGGGACUUUGGCACCUGGAGCCACAGGCCGAGCCCAGGGAGUCACCAGUCCCCGUGGAGGGACGAGGCUUGCCCUCUGGGCCUGGGCACCCUGCCGUCCCCAUUCCUCACAGUCCCCUCGUGGCUGCGUUGCUGUCUUUCUGCUGUGUGACUGAGUGUGACUUGUUUUUCCUUCCUCCUUGAAGUCUCUCCUGGAUUUUCUUAAGGUGUGCCUGGCUUGACAAUUUCUUCUCACCGGCUGUUGUAGGAAGCCUCUCUCCAUCCUGAGACACACCUUUCCAAACACAAGAUCACGAGAAGACUCGAUCAGGAACUCAUUUGACACUUGGAGGAAAAAUGGCCAAAGAGCUCAGAGAAGGUGCUCAGGCCUCUAACAGGACCACCCUUCCACCCCCCUGCCCCCAGUGCUCAUGAUCAAGAAGAGGAGAGUUGUUUGGGAGAACAGGACCGACUCCACUGCAGACUUUAUGGCCAACUCGCCACUGACUCAUUGCCAGUUGAGCGGUGUAUUUUGGCAUACCAGCACUUCAUCUUCUGGCUUCCACUCUUUUUCCUGGGGAGUCCAACCCCGGGAGCCGGGGGCAUGGUUGGCCAAGGGGGGGGUGGUGUUCUUCGGGACCAGGGUUUUUCCUUGGAAAGCCCUCUUUCUUUGUCUUUUUUUUUCUUUUACUUUGUUGGCCCUGUCUUCAGCUUACUCAGACCUUGGGUGGGUGCUCUACACACUUCCUCUUGAGGUCCUGGAUAGAAUAUUCUUUUCUUUUUUUUUUUUUCAAGAUUUUAUUUUUCCUUUCUCUCCCCAAAGCCCCCGGGUACAUAGUUGUAUAUCUUAGUUGCAGGUCCUUCUAGUUGUGGCAUGUGGGAUGCCGCCUCAGCAUGGCUUGAUGAGUGGUGCCAUGUCCGCGCCCAGGAUCUGAACCAGGAAACCCUGGGCCACCUAAGUGGAGCGGGCGAACUUAACCACUUGGCCAGGGGGCUGUCCCCCAGGAUAGGAUUUUCUUGACCGUGACCCCUCUUGGGGUUCUUCUUGUGGUCCAAAACAUGGCUGGGCUCAUGGUCAGUCUAGGAAUCUCCAAGUAUUGCCUUGGAAACACACUCUCUCCAUCUUGUCUUGCUGCAUCCCAAUGCUACAAGAAUCCGUUGCGAUCUUUCUGUCCUUUGUGCUUGUGUUGGCUCUUCACUCUUUCCCAUGGUCCUGUGCUCCUCGCUUGGCUGCCCACGUUCUAUCCCUGUGGGUUCACUUUUCCUUCAGCGAUGUCUCUCCUGUUCUUCAACCCUUCCGCCCAGACUGUGGCUUCCAUUCUUCUUAAGUCACGGCUCUACCUCUUCUCCAUUUCCUUUAUUCGUUUGGUUUGGUUUUUAAACUCUGUAGAGAGACUCUCUUCUCUUUCUGGACUGAGCAUUUCCCUUCUGUGACUUAAUCACUUGUGUCUUUUGUGGAUGCUGGUAUCUCCCAUGUUCCUUUCCAUGAACCUAUCUUUUGGCACAAUUCACAUCAAGGAAAAUGCACCACUUUUCCCUUUGGGUUCUGAUGCCUUCUGGCUGGCGUCCCCAGAGGUGGGGUGCUGCCAUCACCAGAACUUGGAACACGAUGGGAGGGGCCUGAGCCUGGAAAGCACUUCAGAAAUCUCUUACUGACAAUCACACGGGCCUAGAAGAAACUGCUCCUUCUUCAGCGUGGUUCCAUUGAGAAUGCCUAGAGCCCUUUUAGGAUUAUCCCCACUGUGGAGGUGACAAAGGCCUGACACAGAGAAGUUCCUCAGCGGGCUAAGUGCCCAGCAACAGUCUAUGCCUUGGCUGGGUCUCCAUGUCCAGGUCCUCGACAAUCACGCCCAGCUCUGACAUUUCAGGAGCUUAGAAGCCAUCGCUUCUGUCCUUACAACAAGAGAAAAAACUGAACAAACUGAAAAUGAAUGACUUUUCUUAAACCUAUCAGAGAAUUGAGGUCACAGGGAAAGCCGCCACCCUGAAUUGUGGAGAGAUGGAAAAAUGUGGGUGAUAACAACCAAGAUCAGUUUACUUGGAGCAAAAGCCACUGGAGCCAUAAACUGUUAGGAUCACUUAAAUGAUAAUUUUGAUGAAUUGCUGAAGGAAACCAUGUAAGCAAGAAGACAGUGGAGUGAAAUAUUUAAAGUGUUGGGGGAAAAGACUAGAAUUCUACAUCCAGUGAAAUCACCCCUCAAAAUGAAGGAGAAAUAAAACCUUUCUCAGAGAAACAAAAAUGGAAAGAAUUUGUUGCCAGGAGGUCUGUCUUGCGAGAAAUGUUAAGAGAAGUUCUUUUGAGAGAAGGAAAAUGGUAUAGGUCAGAAGCGAAAGGAAGGAAGAUUGUCAGAGCAGGAAUAAAUGAAGCAGAGACCAACCUUGAGUCCCCGAUAUGGCACCAUUCCCUGUGAGGACCAGCCGGCCAUGUGGCAGAAGGUCGAUUACAUUGGACCUUUUCCAUCAUGGAUGGGACAGAGAUUCAUCCUCACAAGUACAGACACAUAUUAUCUUAGGUUUUCUUUCCCUGCCUGUGAUGUUUCUGCCAGCAUCACCAACCACGGACUCACAGAAUGCUUUAUCCACCAUCUUGGCAUCCCACACAGCCUUUUGUCUGAACAAAAAACUCAUUUCACAGCAAAGGAAGUACGGCAAUGCAUGCACGCCCAUGGAAUUAACUUUCUUACCCCAUGUUUUGCUACCUGGAAUCAGCUGGCCCCACUGAAAGGUGGAAUGACUCACUGAAAAUUCAGUUACAGUGCCGGUUGGAGAUAUCACCCUGAAAGGCUGGAAUUCUGUCUUACAGGAUGCAGAAUAUAUUUGAAUCAGAGACCAUUAUGGCCUCUCCCACACCCUAAUACAUGCUCCAGGAAUGAAGGGGUGAAGUGGGAGUGGCUUCUCUCACUAUAACACCUAAUAGCAGACUCACAGAAUUUGAGCUUUGCUGCUAUGGACAUAUUAGUCCCCAAGGGGGCAAUGUUUCCACUGGGGGACAUACCGGUGGCAAUGGUCGUACUGAAUUGGAAGAUGAGACUUCUUUCUUGAACAUUUUGGGCUCCUUGUAACACUGACCUAAGAGGAAAAAAAAGUUAAGCUACUGGAUGGACUGAUUGAUCCUAAUUACCAAGGAGGAUCAGGUUACUGCUAUACAAUUGAGGUAGGAGGGCUAUGUCUGAAACCCAGGAGAUUCUCUGGCAUUCCUCUUAGUACUUCUCUGCCCAAUAGUAAAGGUUAAUGGGAAAAUGACAGCAAUAAAAAGAAAAACAUGAUCGAGGACUCAGAAUCUUCAGGAAUGAGUGUUUGGGUUACUCUACCAGGUAGAGAACCUAGAGCAUCUGAGGCUGUCACUGAAGGCAAUGGAAAUACAGAAAGGGUCGUUGAAGAUGCAAAUCACAAACAUCAACUAUGGCCUCAUAUCCAAUUACAGACAUGAGGACUGUAGUAGCUUUGCAUAUUUUCUCUUUGCUGGUUAUAUGUAUUUAUUUGUUUAUUCUAACAUCCUUUUUCUUCUCUUUCCUCAUUUUUAUUUUAUAUGCAAGUUGUUGGAGGUUAACUUUACAAUUUACUCUUUAGGCAACAGAAUAUUCUGUAGGAUUGUAACCGAAUUUGAGAAGUAAUUAAUGUAGCCAUAAAUAAAUUAAUUAAUAACUAAUAUAGCCAACUGUUGGGACUGUGCAUUUUCACAUUUGGAUAGCUGGUACCUUGCUAGGUAGAAAUGCAGAGUUGUUUUGUUGCUGUACGGGAGCUCAAAAGUGUGUAGAAAAGUAUGCAGAAACUGAGUAGCCAAAGCAGUUGACAAUGUGCGGUUAUCAAUUUAUUGCCUCUCAGCUCCAAAUUUACUCUUCAAUACCUGCUCUGUGAAAAUGGACUGGAUUCUUCAAGCCUUUCCUCUUUACAGUGAGUAUGAUGUGAAACGUUGUCAGUAGAGGGCGCUGGAGGAGGAAGGGGCUUCUCUUCCUGGUUCUGGCUGCUGCAUUUUGCUUUUUCUUGCUCUUGCUUUGUGGUCCAUGGGGUGUGUGUAUGUGAAAACAUUCAAUGAUGCUCAGCACCAGCUGUGCUCCAGAGCAUGCAGUCUCUCGGAGAUCUUGCCAAUCUGGCCUGGGCUCAGUGACCACCUUGCUGAGGCCCUCCUGAUGAGACACUCACACACAUAGUGGAAUCGCAACUCUCUCUGUAUACCUGCCCAUCAGCUUUGGCUUGCAUGUGCCAUGGAAGGCUAUUUCCUGCAGCCCUUCUGAUGUGGAUACCCUGCAUCUCACCCUCGUGCCUGCGGUGCCACUCCCACACUGAGUACUUGGCAACCCAGCAAACUUCUCUGCCAUCCAGUGGGAUGUAACUACAUCUCUACUGAGGUCUGAAACCCAGCCUCUGGGAGGGACCCUCCUUCCAACUUUGUCCUUCUUUAGGUACUCUCCCUCAGCCCGUGUCUGGUAUUUUCACCGUAAGCAUCUUUGCCAUAGACAUCUUUCCUGCAUGUGUUUUCACUGCAGACAUUUUCACUGCAUAACUAAUUGGCCAUAAGGCAAUUUUGUUAUCAAAGAUGAAAUAAUGAAUAAUAAAAGAGGGAUAUUAAAAAGGAUAUAAUAAAACAUGAAAAAUGAAUAAUAAAAUUAAAAAGACAUUGCAAAAUACAAAAUAUUUGAAUACAUUUAAAAUAUGUGUAGAUUCAUGGCAAUAAUGAGCAAAUAACUGAUUUUAUUUUGUGGGUUGUACCUAAGCACUUGUCUGCAAAGUCUUUCAUUCACAAUAUAUAUAUUUUUUUGCUUGUUGAUUCAUUUCCUCAUUUGGCAUCCAUCACACUUUUUCUUUUUUGCUAAAACUUCUUCCUUCAUUAAGAGAGAUAUCAGUUUCCAAAUACUAGGAUGCAUAUUUGUAACUGAGCUUUGUAUUGCAUUGUGAAAAGCCUUCUACACUGUUCUUUGUUCUUGGCUCAUGUCUGUGGAUAGAUGUUCCAGAGUUCUAUGGGAAAUGCAAAGCUAAGAUUUAUUUAAUAUAAAAAUGAGAGUAUUGUGUCAAUGGAGAAAUGAAACCACACUGUCAAGCAGUUGAAACCAAAUUGUCAAACCAAACUGUUACCCAGUUAUUUUAUCUUUUAUGGCAAAAUUGCCUUACGACCAAUUAGUUAUACAGUGAAAAUGUUCACAGCAAAAAUGCUUGUGGCAAAGAUGUCUAUGGCAAAGAUACUUGCUUAUGGCAAAAGUACCCUAAGGGUUCUUUGAUGUCUUUAUAGUUACUCUCAUCAUUGCUUAAUAAUUCUUUAUAUUAAACUUCUGUUUAAAUUCUGGUGCAGUUUCUGUUUCCUGACUGAACCCAAACUAGUACAAACUGACUAUAGGAAUUGGGUGCUGAUACAAAAAGCUUCUCAUCCAUUUUUGGCAAAAGCCCACCGUCAUUAAUUUCUCCAGGAUACCCAACUCCUAAAAGUCUCAUAAGGUAGGACAGUUUGCCUUCUGCCUCCUUGACAGAUUAUAAGCUCCACAAUAAACACUCUCAUCUUUUUCUCCAAGAUACGUGUUUCUGCCCAUCAGUCCUCCUAUAAGAACAUUGGGCAUGACGGAGAAGCUCAGCAACUUGAAAAUGAAUACCUGUUUAUAGUAAUGUCAUAUUUUUAUGGAAGUUAAAUUCAAAAGUCAGGAACAAAAUAAAAAAUUGGUUGUAUUCCAAAUCAUCCUAUAAAAUAUCGUAAGUGGUUCACAAAGCAUAAAACAUGGAUUGAUUAUCCAACACUGAAGAAUAAUGUGUGUAUAUAUAUAUAUGUGUUAACCGUACAUCAUUAACAUGCAUAUAUAAUAAAAGGCCCAUAUACUAAAUAUAAUUUCAUGAUUCAUAUUUAUACAAAAGAGUAACACAUAUAUAUUAAUUUAUGUGCAAAAGUAACACACACCUUAUAUUAAAUGUGCAUAUGAUUAUUGGCAAAUCGGAGACUCAGUCCUAAGUUAUCAGCCCUCAGGUUACUUACCAAUUAGAAAGGAAAAAAUAUCACUUUACAAUGGAAAUAUCUGGCCAUUACCACUUUAACUAAGUGAUCAAGUUUAGCAUCACCAAUAGUGAAAUGACCUGACCUCAUGUUUCUCCUCGUGUGAUACAAGAGGACACAACCUUGUCUAUGUAGUACCCUUGCUAACUUGUUUAACCUGGAUUUUACCAUGAGAAAAUAAACAGACAAAUCCAGACUAUAAGACA